GACGGAGGAUGCAAGCGUUAUCCGGAAUCAUUGGGCGUAAAGCGCACGUAGGCGGCUUUGCAAGUCAGGUGUGAAAGCCUGGGGCUCAACCCCAGAAGUGCAUUUGAAACUGCAGAGCUUGAGUCUUGGAGAGGGCAGUGGAAUUCCGAGUGUAGAGGUGAAAUUCGUAGAUAUUCGGAGGAACACCAGUGGCGAAGGCGACUGCCUGGACAAAGACUGACGCUGAGGUGCGAAAGCGUGGGGAGCAAACAGG
This 253-nucleotide ribosomal RNA is filed under the name uncultured bacterium. RNAcentral describes it as "partial 16S ribosomal RNA". It matches the Rfam family "Bacterial small subunit ribosomal RNA", at positions 524 to 776 of the family's 1533-position model. The record is from RNAcentral.